UCUUGCUCCUCUUUUAUUACGCACAUAGCAGUAUUACUGUCUACAAACACCUUGUGGAUCACUUGACAUCAUAUACAGAGAAACCGGCCUAGCUUUUGUCCCACACAGCUUCUUCUUAUGGCUAACGCGGACUGACACCAUGCGUGUCAACACCAACAAACUACGGUAAAAACGAGCGACGGCAGCUACAUAUGCUACGUACGUACGGUUCUCUCCCCGGACUGGAUUUGGAUUCGGUGUCGUUAAAACCUAAUGCAUGCACGCAUGCACGCAGCGAGAGGGCGGCUUGGGUUCACUUGCUGCUGCCCUUGCCGUGGCCGUAGAGGCGGAAGAGGUUGAAGGCGGAGACGAG
RNAcentral lists this long non-coding RNA (352 nucleotides) under Triticum aestivum (bread wheat). Its description in RNAcentral is "long non-coding RNA (TAES_LNC004732)". Lineage: Eukaryota; Viridiplantae; Streptophyta; Magnoliopsida; Poales; Poaceae. The record is from RNAcentral.